GCCGUACUGAGGGAGGGGCCGGGGGGCUCACGGGGUGGAGGCGGGAGGGCUCUCCGGUCCAGGACCAGGCCAGGGGGGCUGCUCGGCUGCUACUUUCUCACCCACCGAGAGCCUCCCCCGGGGGGUCUAGGGCGUAGCGUGUGUCCCGCUCCCCGCACCUACCCCCCAGCGGGUCCCUUCUCUCUGCUCUCCCCUCAGUCUGAGCUGCUGUAUCAGCCCAAGGGCCCGGAAAUCAACAUCUCUGUGAAUUAGUGUCAAGAGGAUGAGGAGGGGGAAGCGGAGGAAGAGGAGGAGGAGGAAGAGAGGAUCACCGCAGACCCAACCCUGAGGCCCGGCCCCUUCUCCCUGGGCCGAAGCCGGACGCUGGGCCUCACCGCGUCCACCCUUCUCCAGUGUUUCUUUCCUACACCUUCCGGAGGUGCCCCGCAAACCUCUCCCGCUGAUUCUGAGAUGGAGCUGCCACCGCCGAGUCCCUCCCUCCCUUAGCAUCGCGCACGGUGACGGACUUGAUGGGGACGGAAGGGCCAGGAGGAGGAGGAAGACGGGGAGACCAGCUCACCCAUCCUCACACGCCCAGUUGGCCGCUGUCACCGCUCAGUUCCGGAGUAGACCUCUGCCCCCCUACACCCCUUCACCCCCACAGCCGGUGGCCCAGCACCUUUGGGGGAGAAAAGUAGUUCGCCCAUCCCCUCCUCCUAUGGGGAGGACUUUGUCUUCUAACUCUAUUGUACUCUCCCCAGUGCUUAGUACAGUGCUCUGCACACAGUAGGCUUUUAAUAAAUAUUCUAAUAAUAAUAACAUUGUAUUGGUUAAAGCAUUUAUUCAUUCAUUCAUUUAACUGUAUUUAUUGAGCGCUUACUAUGUGCCAGCUGAGGUGGAUGAAAAGAUAAUCAGAUGGGACCCCGUUUCUGCCCUACGUGGGGCUCACAGUCUAAGGAGGAGGGAGGACAGGUAUUGCAUCCCCAUUGACAGGUGAGAAAACCGAGGCCCAGAGAAGUGAAAUGACUUGCCCAAGGGCACACAGCGGACGAGUGGCGGAACCGGGCUUAGAACCCAUGACCUCCUGACUCCCGGGCCCGCGCUCUAUCCUCUACGCUAGGCGGUCUCGUAGCCGCUCCAGUGUUCGGUAAUAAUGAUUAUGGUACUUGUUAAGCGCUUAACUACGUGCCAGGCACCGUACUAAGCGCUGGGGUGGAUACGAGCAGAUCGGGUUGGACCCAGUCCCUGUCCCAGUACAGUUCAGUACAGUCCUCGGCCCUUACAGCUUAACCAAGACCACCGAGGUCAUCCUUAGGUGGCUUGGGGUUGCCCGGAAAGCAGGCUUCUCCCCAGCCGGAUCUCUCUCUGUCUCCUUGCGGGCCGCUCGAUGGAUGGACACGUCUUGGUCCCGGGCCCACGAGCCUAGAGCGUUCUGCCCCCCUGGAGGUCCCUCGCCUGCUCAUGACGAGGUCACGGGGUACCCAAGGGGGGAGGUGAGGGGGCAGGGGGCGGGGGCAGGAGGCCAAGCCCGGCCUGUGGGCGAUGCUGCCCCUUGCCCGGCAGCCCAACGCUUCCUUGCGUCUCUGGGGUUUACGGGGCCGACC
Molecule: long non-coding RNA, 1583 nt
Filed under: Ornithorhynchus anatinus (platypus)
Lineage: Eukaryota; Metazoa; Chordata; Mammalia; Monotremata; Ornithorhynchidae
Description: lncRNA (ENSOANG00000035475.2)
Source: RNAcentral